RNAcentral lists this small RNA (29 nucleotides) under Bombyx mori (domestic silkworm). RNAcentral's name for it is "ovarian small RNA-18497". The record is from RNAcentral. Lineage: Eukaryota; Metazoa; Arthropoda; Insecta; Lepidoptera; Bombycidae.
UAAAUGUCGCUUCAUAAGCAAGAUGUCGC